Molecule: non-coding RNA, 24 nt
Filed under: Arabidopsis thaliana (thale cress)
Lineage: Eukaryota; Viridiplantae; Streptophyta; Magnoliopsida; Brassicales; Brassicaceae
Also listed under: 10 other names
Source: RNAcentral
GAGUAACUAUGACUCUCUUAAGGU